Molecule: non-coding RNA, 105 nt
Filed under: Bacillus sp. (in: firmicutes)
Lineage: Bacteria; Bacillati; Bacillota; Bacilli; Caryophanales; Bacillaceae
Also listed under: 1 other name
Description: Bacillus sp. SAM-I sequence
Rfam family: SAM riboswitch aptamer (S box leader)
About the family: The SAM riboswitch is found upstream of a number of genes which code for proteins involved in methionine or cysteine biosynthesis in Gram-positive bacteria. The SAM riboswitch acts at the level of transcription termination control.
Source: RNAcentral
UUCUUAUCCAGAGAGGUUGAGGGACUGGCCCUAUGACACCUCGGCAGCGGAAUCCAAUUGGAGACUGUGCCAAAUCCAGCAAGCAGAUCGCUUGGGAGAUAAGAA